RNAcentral lists this non-coding RNA (24 nucleotides) under Mus musculus (house mouse). Lineage: Eukaryota; Metazoa; Chordata; Mammalia; Rodentia; Muridae. The record is from RNAcentral.
UCACGUACUUGUUGCGGAGUGGUG